RNAcentral lists this ribosomal RNA (2766 nucleotides) under Escherichia coli. RNAcentral's name for it is "bacterial LSU rRNA". The record is from RNAcentral. Lineage: Bacteria; Pseudomonadati; Pseudomonadota; Gammaproteobacteria; Enterobacterales; Enterobacteriaceae.
AGCGUACACGGUGGAUGCCCUGGCAGUCAGAGGCGAUGAAGGACGUGCUAAUCUGCGAUAAGCGUCGGUAAGGUGAUAUGAACCGUUAUACUAUCAUUAACUGAAUCCAUAGGUUAAUGAGGCGAACCGGGGGAACUGAAACAUCUAAGUACCCCGAGGAAAAGAAAUCAACCGAGAUUCCCCCAGUAGCGGCGAGCGAACGGGGAGCAGCCCAGAGCCUGAAUCAGUAUGUGUGUUAGUGGAAGCGUCUGGAAAGGCGCGCGAUACAGGGUGACAGCCCCGUACACAAAAAUGCACAUGCUGUGAGCUCGAUGAGUAGGGCGGGACACGUGGUAUCCUGUCUGAAUAUGGGGGGACCAUCCUCCAAGGCUAAAUACUCCUGACUGACCGAUAGUGAACCAGUACCGUGAGGGAAAGGCGAAAAGAACCCCGGCGAGGGGAGUGAAAAAGAACCUGAAACCGUGUACGUACAAGCAGUGGGAGCUCGCUUAGGCGUGUGACUGCGUACCUUUUGUAUAAUGGGUCAGCGACUUAUAUUCUGUAGCAAGGUUAACCGAAUAGGGGAGCCGAAGGGAAACCGAGUCUUAACUGGGCGUUAAGUUGCAGGGUAUAGACCCGAAACCCGGUGAUCUAGCCAUGGGCAGGUUGAAGGUUGGGUAACACUAACUGGAGGACCGAACCGACUAAUGUUGAAAAAUUAGCGGAUGACUUGUGGCUGGGGGUGAAAGGCCAAUCAAACCGGGAGAUAGCUGGUUCUCCCCGAAAGCUAUUUAGGUAGCGCCUCGUGAAUUCAUCUCCGGGGGUAGAGCACUGUUUCGGCAAGGGGGUCAUCCCGACUUACCAACCCGAUGCAAACUGCGAAUACCGGAGAAUGUUAUCACGGGAGACACACGGCGGGUGCUAACGUCCGUCGUGAAGAGGGAAACAACCCAGACCGCCAGCUAAGGUCCCAAAGUCAUGGUUAAGUGGGAAACGAUGUGGGAAGGCCCAGACAGCCAGGAUGUUGGCUUAGAAGCAGCCAUCAUUUAAAGAAAGCGUAAUAGCUCACUGGUCGAGUCGGCCUGCGCGGAAGAUGUAACGGGGCUAAACCAUGCACCGAAGCUGCGGCAGCGACGCUUAUGCGUUGUUGGGUAGGGGAGCGUUCUGUAAGCCUGCGAAGGUGUGCUGUGAGGCAUGCUGGAGGUAUCAGAAGUGCGAAUGCUGACAUAAGUAACGAUAAAGCGGGUGAAAAGCCCGCUCGCCGGAAGACCAAGGGUUCCUGUCCAACGUUAAUCGGGGCAGGGUGAGUCGACCCCUAAGGCGAGGCCGAAAGGCGUAGUCGAUGGGAAACAGGUUAAUAUUCCUGUACUUGGUGUUACUGCGAAGGGGGGACGGAGAAGGCUAUGUUGGCCGGGCGACGGUUGUCCCGGUUUAAGCGUGUAGGCUGGUUUUCCAGGCAAAUCCGGAAAAUCAAGGCUGAGGCGUGAUGACGAGGCACUACGGUGCUGAAGCAACAAAUGCCCUGCUUCCAGGAAAAGCCUCUAAGCAUCAGGUAACAUCAAAUCGUACCCCAAACCGACACAGGUGGUCAGGUAGAGAAUACCAAGGCGCUUGAGAGAACUCGGGUGAAGGAACUAGGCAAAAUGGUGCCGUAACUUCGGGAGAAGGCACGCUGAUAUGUAGGUGAAGUCCCUCGCGGAUGGAGCUGAAAUCAGUCGAAGAUACCAGCUGGCUGCAACUGUUUAUUAAAAACACAGCACUGUGCAAACACGAAAGUGGACGUAUACGGUGUGACGCCUGCCCGGUGCCGGAAGGUUAAUUGAUGGGGUYAGCGCAAGCGAAGCUCUUGAUCGAAGCCCCGGUAAACGGCGGCCGUAACUAUAACGGUCCUAAGGUAGCGAAAUUCCUUGUCGGGUAAGUUCCGACCUGCACGAAUGGCGUAAUGAUGGCCAGGCUGUCUCCACCCGAGACUCAGUGAAAUUGAACUCGCUGUGAAGAUGCAGUGUACCCGCGGCAAGACGGAAAGACCCCGUGAACCUUUACUAUAGCUUGACACUGAACAUUGAGCCUUGAUGUGUAGGAUAGGUGGGAGGCUUUGAAGUGUGGACGCCAGUCUGCAUGGAGCCGACCUUGAAAUACCACCCUUUAAUGUUUGAUGUUCUAACGUUGACCCGUAAUCCGGGUUGCGGACAGUGUCUGGUGGGUAGUUUGACUGGGGCGGUCUCCUCCUAAAGAGUAACGGAGGAGCACGAAGGUUGGCUAAUCCUGGUCGGACAUCAGGAGGUUAGUGCAAUGGCAUAAGCCAGCUUGACUGCGAGCGUGACGGCGCGAGCAGGUGCGAAAGCAGGUCAUAGUGAUCCGGUGGUUCUGAAUGGAAGGGCCAUCGCUCAACGGAUAAAAGGUACUCCGGGGAUAACAGGCUGAUACCGCCCAAGAGUUCAUAUCGACGGCGGUGUUUGGCACCUCGAUGUCGGCUCAUCACAUCCUGGGGCUGAAGUAGGUCCCAAGGGUAUGGCUGUUCGCCAUUUAAAGUGGUACGCGAGCUGGGUUUAGAACGUCGUGAGACAGUUCGGUCCCUAUCUGCCGUGGGCGCUGGAGAACUGAGGGGGGCUGCUCCUAGUACGAGAGGACCGGAGUGGACGCAUCACUGGUGUUCGGGUUGUCAUGCCAAUGGCACUGCCCGGUAGCUAAAUGCGGAAGAGAUAAGUGCUGAAAGCAUCUAAGCACGAAACUUGCCCCGAGAUGAGUUCUCCCUGACCGUGGACGCAUCACUGGUGUUCGGGUUGU